AACUCUUGGGGCUAGGGGAAGCAGGCAUGUGGAUGAGUGGGGGGACACACCGAACUCCGAACAAUUAAAACCCUCUUGAAAUAAUUGAGCUUUUGUGACAGAAAAAAUUAAAAGAGAAAAAAAAGAAACCCCAUAGCUCUCUUCUCCCCCUUCCCUCCCUGUCUAUAUUUUUUAUAUACAGUCCCUGCAUUUCUUCUUCAUUGUAACUGGGUGGAUUGAAAGGGAAGGAGACCUCAAAACCCAUAAAUUUUCUGACGAAAAGUUCAGACUUUUGACGGUAUUCUUCUUCAAUAUGUAUGUUUUCUCAUCAAAAUUUUGGCUUUGCCACUGAUUGUUCCAGAGUUGUCAAUAUGGUUCAUAGCUCUGCAACUAAGAAAAACGAGGAAUGGCUGGAGAAACUCGAACAAGGAAGCUAUGAUGGAAAGCCGCGGGUGUGAUGGAGAAGAAAGUCUUGGUUUUCACCAGCCAGCAGCGUCGAAUCUGGCAGAGGCUGGAGGGGCGGGGCCGAGCCUGGAGGAGGAGAGACGCGGCUUGGAGGAAAAAAACCGUGAAGAUGAGAAGAAAAGCUUUGUUUCUUUUAUGGGAUAUUUUA
Molecule: long non-coding RNA, 592 nt
Filed under: Carica papaya (papaya)
Lineage: Eukaryota; Viridiplantae; Streptophyta; Magnoliopsida; Brassicales; Caricaceae
Description: long non-coding RNA (CPAP_LNC001041)
Source: RNAcentral